AAGGUAGAUAGGUUCGAGGUGGAAGUGUGGCGACAUACGGAGCUGACGAAUACUAAUCGAUCGAGGACUUAACCAC
RNAcentral lists this ribosomal RNA (76 nucleotides) under Kurthia sibirica. RNAcentral describes it as "partial 23S ribosomal RNA". The record is from RNAcentral. Lineage: Bacteria; Bacillati; Bacillota; Bacilli; Caryophanales; Caryophanaceae.